Molecule: non-coding RNA, 21 nt
Filed under: Caenorhabditis elegans
Lineage: Eukaryota; Metazoa; Nematoda; Chromadorea; Rhabditida; Rhabditidae
Source: RNAcentral
UCCACGCUUCCCACUCUUUCC